UGAGCGCUGGCGGUAGGCUUACACAUGCAAGUCGAGCGGUAACAGACAUUUUGAUUUUGCUUGCAAAAUCUCGUGCUGACGAGCGGCGAACGGGUGAGUAACGCGUAGGAAUCUACCUAGUAGAAGGGGAUAGCCCGAGGAAACUCGGAUUAAUACCGUAUACGUCCUUAGGGAGAAAGAGGGCUUAGCUUUGAUGCUCUCGCUAUUAGAUGAGCCUGCGUAAGAUUAGCUUGUUGGUGAGGUAAAGGCUCACCAAGGCGACGAUCUUUAGCUGGUCUGAGAGGACGAUCAGCCACAUUGGGACUGAGACACGGCCCAGACUCCUACGGGAGGCAGUAGUGGGGAAUAUUGGACAAUGGGCGCAAGCCUGAUCCAGCCAUACCGCGUGUGUGAAGAAGGCCUUCGGGUUGUAAAGCACUUUAAGUAAGGAAGAAAAGAGUAUUGUUAAUACCAAUACUCCGUGACAUUACUUACAGAAUAAGGACCGGCUAAUUCCGUGCCAGCAGCCGCGGUAAUACGGAAGGUCCAAGCGUUAAUCGGAAUUACUGGGCGUAAAGC
Molecule: ribosomal RNA, 558 nt
Filed under: uncultured bacterium
Lineage: Bacteria
Description: bacterial SSU rRNA
Rfam family: Bacterial small subunit ribosomal RNA
Source: RNAcentral